This 500-nucleotide ribosomal RNA is filed under the name uncultured bacterium. Its description in RNAcentral is "partial 16S ribosomal RNA". It matches the Rfam family "Bacterial small subunit ribosomal RNA", at positions 30 to 523 of the family's 1533-position model. The record is from RNAcentral.
AUUGAACGCUGGCGGCAGGCCUAACACAUGCAAGUCGAGCGGAUGACGGGAGCUUGCUCCUUGAUUCAGCGGCGGACGGGUGAGUAAUGCCUAGGAAUCUGCCUGGUAGUGGGGGACGACGUUUCAAAAGGAACGCUAAUACCGCAUACGUCCUACGGGAGAAAGCAGGGGACCUUCGGGCCUUGCGCUAUCAGAUGAGCCUAGGUCGGAUUAGCUAGUAGGUGAGGUAAUGGCUCACCUAGGCGACGAUCCGUAACUGGUCUGAGAGGAUGAUCAGUCACACUGGAACUGAGACACGGUCCAGACUCCUACGGGAGGCAGCAGUGGGGAAUAUUGGACAAUGGGCGAAAGCCUGAUCCAGCCAUGCCGCGUGUGUGAAGAAGGUCUUCGGAUUGUAAAGCACUUUAAGUUGGGAGGAAGGGCAGUAAGUUAAUACCUUGCUGUUUUGACGUUACCGACAGAAUAAGCACCGGCUAACUCUGUGCCAGCCGCCGCUGUAA